AUUGAACGCUGGCGGAAUGCUUUACACAUGCAAGUCGAGCGGCAGCGCGGGGCAACCUGGCGGCGAGCGGCGAACGGGUGAGUAAUGCAUCGGAACAUGUCCAUGUCGUGGGGGAUAGCCCGGCGAAAGCCGGAUUAAUACCGCAUACGCCCGAGAGGGGAAGGUGGGGACCGCAAGGCCUCACGCGAUUGGGUUGGCCGAUGUCCGAUUAGCUAGUUGGCGGGGUAAGGCCCACCAAGGCGAUGAUCGGUAGCUGGUCUGAGAGGAUGAUCAGCCACACUGGGACUGAGACACGGCCCAGACUCCUACGGGAGGCAGCAGUGGGGAAUUUUGGACAAUGGGGGCAACCCUGAUCCAGCCAUUCCGCGUGAGUGAAGAAGG
Molecule: ribosomal RNA, 381 nt
Filed under: uncultured bacterium
Lineage: Bacteria
Description: bacterial SSU rRNA
Rfam family: Bacterial small subunit ribosomal RNA
Source: RNAcentral